GCUGCCGCUGCGGGCCAUUCCAUGGACCUUAGAGAAGGAUCUCACUGGAAACCGCAGAGAUCUGGACAGACUCCAGGCGCUGGCGACAGUUUACGCCCUGAUGCCAGCCCCACUCCGUGUUUUCCUUACCUGAGUGAAUAGGUUUCCUUUAUGCUCCAGCCGGAUUGGGUCUGGUUUUCUGUUACUUGUAACAGGAACAAUUUGAAUAAGUCGGAAUACUGUUAACCACCUUCCGCCCGUGGUUAGAUUCAAAGAUGUCUUCUGUAUAUGAGCUGCUUUGGGCAGUGACUGCCACUCUUCAAGUCAUUGUCAGGAAUCUGUCUUGAACUCCAUAAAGUUCUAAGAAAAAUCCCCAUUAAAAAAAUUUCCCCUCCAUCCAAGAGUUUAAAAUCUCACAACAGUCUUACUACCUGCAUGUUUUCCACCUGAAAGAAAUGGAUCUUCUUGUUAGCCACACAAUAUUUUUCUGCAGGCUUUUGUUUGGAAAUUUAACCUUGUAAUGAUUACUUUGUAAUUCCUGACCAAAUCAUAGCCGACCUGGCAGAUGUUUGAAGAAGAUGCUGUGGGGUGUACAGUCCUUACCCCUCCUCCGGGUGGUGAGUUCUGUGUUUGGAACCAAGCUAUUGCGUCAGUGGCCAACAUUCUCGGACAGGGUUAAAUAACCCUCAUAAACAACCUGUCUCACUCCCAAAAGGUGCUCUUAGUGAUUUAUAUUUUAAUGUUAUGGCUUUAGUUUUUUUGUUUUUUUUUUUAAUUUUAUUUGUUUAAAGAUGGGCCUGAGAUGCUGCACAUAGGCAGAGAGCAUGCUCGCAUCUUCUAGAAGCCUGGCUGAGCACUGCUCGGCGCCACUGUUCGGUGCCCAUUGCGAAAGCACGCACAUGGCUGAUUUAUUCUAGAGUUUCACAAGCAUGACUUGUGAGUGUUCCGGGAGUGGUGUGAAGAGAUAGGUCUGCAGAAGAUGAGGGACAGUUAGGGGUGUGUAUUAGAUGGUCAGUGUGUUUGGUUGCUCUGCUUCGUCCCCCAGAGAAGGACUGGACGUGUCUGGAAUGAAUGCAUCUGUCCUCUGCCUAGAACCAAGCUGCCGUGCGUGGCACCAUGUGAAAGGGGUGUGUGCAUAAACAUAUAAACAAAGAAGGGUGAUGAUGCCUGCACAUCUUGGGGGGGGUGUCCAGGGAUGGGGGGCUAGUUAUGUGGGAAACACGUAUAUGGAGGGGACUCCGAUCCUGCAUCUUGGCCGUAGAGGAAGCAAUGCGGAGAAAGUGUCGACGCUCUAGAGUGGCAGCUGGGGUUGGUCGGCUGGUGGGGGGUGAGGUUUUCCCACGAUUACCCCAGAGACACGUCCUGGAUGGUGAUGUUGGGAACGUGAGGAUCUUGACUACGUCCUGCCCACGGGGUUUGAGUUUGCCCGUCCGCGUGGUCUCCGUCAGCCCCUGCUUGGGCCGGACGGUUCGGCUGCCUCAACACCCUCCUUCUCUCCUAGUUAGUAUCUCCGUGCUCUCCGGCUUCUCCUCUGUAUUCUACAAAAUGCUCUUAUCCUACCCGGUGCCUGUUCUCUUCCCGCCUGUGCUCACGCAGCCCUUGGCACUGAAAAUAUCCGUAAGGAGCAGAAGCCAAGGGCAUACGGUCCUUUUUCUUCCUUAAGAUAGCUUUCAGUGUUGAAAUCGCCACUGAAAACACGUUUCCUUCCAUUUGUUUCUCCUAAUCAUUAGUAUUGCCUUUAACUUUCUCCUAAUGCUGCUACAUUUAUUACUGAUUUCUGGUUUUAAACUUGUUUCCACCCGACUAUUUCCCUUUUUCAAAUAACUCAAAAUCCUUUCCUGUAUUUUGUGACCCAGGAGGUUCAGCAAUUGUUGGGAAAUCUGCUGUCCCUCCGUGUCCCACAGCAGCACUGUGUACUGGUAGGUACCUAAAGAGUUCUCAUUCCUAGGGACUAUUCUAGACUUUUGUUUUCUAUUUAAUAAAGAAAUGGAAAAGAGCUCAGGGCAAGUUGUUGUAACUCCUCUGGCAAAAUGCAUACAUAUAUUUUUAUCUCUGUGACCAGAGGCACAAUGAUUACAUCAUUCCUGUUCGCAUUACAGUAGUGCUAAAGGAUCGCUGAUGAAAACAUCCCGUGUGCUGCAGAAAUGGGGAGGAAACAGCUUAUUUCAGUUCCUUGCCUGUAGAGUCAUGGGCAUAGCAAAAGAGCUCUGUUAAAAACUUGUUUUCUGAAUAGGAGAUGGAGCAUAUCCAUUCUUUGCUGUGGAAUCCAGGAUAUUUAGAAGCAAUUUAUCACUUUGGUAAAGAAUGGUGUCCUGUUACGAUCUAAGAACGGACGUGAUAAAGAUAUUCAUGCUAAAAAUGCUGUGAUCACAAUGUGCAGACAUUGAAAACAUUUUGUCAAAGGCAGUUAGUACAUAGUCAUCGUAUUAAAGGAGUUUGAUUGGGUGAUGUGACCCUGUGUCAGACGUUUGUGAUUUGUCUGCCCUGACUGAAGGUUUUGGAAGUGUGCAGAAACAUCGGCGAUGCCAGCUUACUAGUACAGUCCCCGCAGUACCCUGGGACGUCAGCGUGUGCCGGUUUCCAGCCACCACAGCUAAGGUUAAAGAAGAGAAUUCACAUGACCAUAUCGAUAGGUGGAGAAAAAACACUUGAGAAAAUCCCAUAGUCAUUCUCGGUGACAUGAUCGUCUAUAUAUACAGUCUUGAAGAAUUGGCAACAAAAUCUUGAAACUCAUAAACAACAAGUUCCAGGAUAGGAAAGCCAACUACUUUCUUAGAGCUCAGCAAUGAACAAGUGGGAUUUGAAAUGAAAAACAGAAUACCAUUUAUAUUAGCACCAAAACAUGAAAUGCUUAGGUAUAAAUCUACUAAAAUAUGAACGAGACCUGUCUGAGGUAAAACUACAAAGCCGAUGGAAGAAAUUAAAGAUCUAAGUAAAUAAAGAAGAGAUAUUCCAUUUCCCUGAAGAGGAAGACUCACUGUGCAUAAGAUGUUGGUUUUUCCUGACUUGAUCUAUGGAUUCAACACAACAGCACGUUGUUGACAGACGGAUUCUACAGUGUGUUCACCCUUUGUUCCUUAAAAAACAAACAAAUAAAAUGAAAACUUCUUCUCUUGUUCUGC
Molecule: long non-coding RNA, 3101 nt
Organism: Hyaena hyaena (striped hyena)
Lineage: Eukaryota; Metazoa; Chordata; Mammalia; Carnivora; Hyaenidae
Exons: 3
Source: RefSeq, a predicted model, not a curated record